AGACGCCCAAGAUCAUUGCUUUCGAGAGUGUUUACAGCAUGUGCGGCAGCAUUGGUCCUAUCGAGGAGAUCUGCGACCUUGCUGACAAGUACGGCGCCUUGACUUUCCUCGAUGAAGUCCAUGCUGUCGGCAUGUACGGACCCAACGGUGCUGGUGUCGCCGAGCACUUGGACUACAACAUUUACGCCAACGGUGGAAACACCAAGGGCACGAUUAU
Molecule: unclassified non-coding RNA, 217 nt
Filed under: Hevea brasiliensis (rubber tree)
Lineage: Eukaryota; Viridiplantae; Streptophyta; Magnoliopsida; Malpighiales; Euphorbiaceae
Source: RNAcentral